Molecule: ribosomal RNA, 253 nt
Filed under: uncultured bacterium
Lineage: Bacteria
Description: partial 16S ribosomal RNA
Rfam family: Bacterial small subunit ribosomal RNA
Source: RNAcentral
UACGUAGGGGGCGAGCGUUAUCCGGAUUCACUGGGUGUAAAGGGAGCGUAGACGGCCAAGCAAGCCAGGGGUGAAAGCCCGGGGCCCAACCCCGGGACUGCCCUUGGAACUGCAUGGCUGGAGUGCGGGAGGGGCAGGCGGAAUUCCUAGUGUAGCGGUGAAAUGCGUAGAUAUUAGGAGGAACACCAGUGGCGAAGGCGGCUUUCUGGACUGUAACUGACACUGAGGUACGAAAGCGUGGGGAGCAAACAGG